UGUGGUGGUGUGUGGUGGGGUGUGGAGGUGGUGUGUGGAGGUGGUGUAGGGGGGUGUGGAGGUGUGUAGUGGUGUGUGGAGGUGGUGUAGUGGUGUGUGGAGGUGGUGUAGUGGGGUGUGGAGGUGGUGUAGUGGGGUGUGGAGGUGGUGUAGUGGUGUGUGGAGGUGUGUAGUGGUGUGUGGAGGUGGUGUAGUGGGGUGUGGAGGCGUGUGGAGGUGUUGUAGUGGGGUGUGGAGGUGGUGUAGUGGGGGUGUGGAGGCGUGUGGAGGUGUGUGGAGGUGGUGUAGUGGUGUGUGGAGGUGGUGUAGUGGUGUGUGGAGGUGUGUGGAGGCGUGUGGAGGUGGUGUAGUGGUGUGUGGUGGUGGUGUGUGGAGGUGGUGUAGUGUGGAGGUGGUGUAGUGGGGUGUGGUGGUGUGUGGAGGUGGUGUAGUGGGGUGUGGUGGUGUAGUGGGGUGUGGGUGUGGAGGGAUAAGAUGAGAUGAGUUCUGUUCUGAUGAGAUGAGAUCUGUUCAGAUGAGAUGAAAUGAG
Molecule: long non-coding RNA, 529 nt
Organism: Clupea harengus (Atlantic herring)
Lineage: Eukaryota; Metazoa; Chordata; Actinopteri; Clupeiformes; Clupeidae
Source: Ensembl